This 465-nucleotide ribosomal RNA is filed under the name Vreelandella stevensii. RNAcentral's name for it is "partial 16S ribosomal RNA". It matches the Rfam family "Bacterial small subunit ribosomal RNA", at positions 338 to 795 of the family's 1533-position model. Lineage: Bacteria; Pseudomonadati; Pseudomonadota; Gammaproteobacteria; Oceanospirillales; Halomonadaceae. The record is from RNAcentral.
CCUACGGGUGGCAGCAGUGGGGAAUAUUGGACAAUGGGCGAAAGCCUGAUCCAGCCAUGCCGCGUGUGUGAAGAAGGCCUUCGGGUUGUAAAGCACUUUCAGUGGGGAAGAAAGCCUUGGGGCUAAUACCCUCGAGGAAGGACAUCACCCACAGAAGAAGCACCGGCUAACUCCGUGCCAGCAGCCGCGGUAAUACGGAGGGUGCGAGCGUUAAUCGGAAUUACUGGGCGUAAAGCGCGCGUAGGCGGUCUGAUAAGCCGGUUGUGAAAGCCCCGGGCUCAACCUGGGAACGGCAUCCGGAACUGUCAGGCUAGAGUGCAGGAGAGGAAGGUAGAAUUCCCGGUGUAUCGGUGAAAUGCGUAGAGAUCGGGAGGAAUACCAGUGGCGAAGGCGGCCUUCUGGACUGACACUGACGCUGAGGUGCGAAAGCGUGGGUAGCAAACAGGAUUAGAUACCCCAGUAGUC